This 253-nucleotide ribosomal RNA is filed under the name uncultured bacterium. RNAcentral describes it as "partial 16S ribosomal RNA". It matches the Rfam family "Bacterial small subunit ribosomal RNA", at positions 524 to 776 of the family's 1533-position model. The record is from RNAcentral.
UACGAAGGGGGCGAGCGUUGUUCGGAUUUACUGGGCGUAAAGGGCGCGCAGGCGGCGGACCAAGUCAGGCGUGAAAGCCCCGGGCUUAACCUGGGAACUGCGUCUGGGACUGGUUUGCUAGAGUUCGGGAGAGGAGAGUGGAAUUCCCAGUGUAGAGGUGAAAUUCGUAGAUAUUGGGAAGAACACCGGUGGCGAAGGCGGCUCUCUGGACCAAGACUGACGCUGAGGCGCGAAAGCCAGGGGAGCAAACGGG